Molecule: long non-coding RNA, 1367 nt
Organism: Haemorhous mexicanus (house finch)
Lineage: Eukaryota; Metazoa; Chordata; Aves; Passeriformes; Fringillidae
Exons: 2
Source: RefSeq, a predicted model, not a curated record
AAAGGCCCUCAGAGCAGCUGCAGCUGUUUGGCUCCUCUGACUCUAAUUCAAGGGGAGUAAAUGGCUUGUUAUAGAAGAAAACUUUUCAGGGAAAUAACAGCACUUUUUUUUUUUCCCCUACAACUGCUUGGAGCAGAAGAACAGAAAACAGAAAAGCGGGGACUAUAAAGUACUGACCUGGGAAAAGAACUCCCAAGAUUGCCUGCAUAUAGACUGCAAGCCGUAACGUAACCAAACAAGAGUUCAAGAGCCUGUUACAGCAAGCAAAGAAACAGUGAGAUCUUUAUUAAUUGGACGUGAGACUAACUUUACCACUUGGUAAGCAGCGGCGCGGUAAAAGUAACAUUUAGCUCCCCCGCUGGGAGCAGAAACUGCUGCGGCCACUUUGUGCUUUUUCUUUCUGCAUCGCAGCCGGCAAUUGCAUUCACAGCGGUUCCGGCGGGAGUCGACCCUGUAUUACCCGUGCCGACCCCUCCCGUGGCCGCCUCCCCAGCAGAGCCCGUGAGAGCUCCGGCCGCGGCUGUCCUGCCAUCUCCCGUGUCGGCUCCACCAGCAGCUGUCUGCGCCUGCACUGCAGCUUUCGGCACCCGGAAAGGACGCGGCUGCCGUCCCCAGCCCGGCAAGAGAUGCAUUUCCUUCAGCUUUGCAGCCCCCACCGACUCCCGCGGCGACCCCGCCUUCGCCCGCCGCGCCGGUAAAGAAGAUUAGAGUCGACAAUAGCGACCACCAAGCCGAACCGUCUUCGGAGCCGCCCCUCUGCCCCCGACAGUAGCUGCCAGCGCCUGCGAUCAGCCGAGAUUCCCUCCCAAACUUUUCGAACUGUCCCGAGACUGCCCCUGCGGGGGCAGCUGAGACAGGGGGGAAGACGAGGAGGAGCGGGGGGAAGCCAUCCUGCCCCUGCGGUGCCGCAAGGGCCUGUGUAAAAACUCAGCGUUUUUCGCAAGCCGAUUCGAGUCUAGUUUAGAAGUUCCCAUUAAAGUUUAAAAUGCUUAAAUUCCCCUGCUCGCCCCAGCGGCCUAGAGAAAGUAACUCCUAAAAGUUCUGCCUCUGUUCCCCAGCCCGGGUUGGGGGUGGGGAGGGGGGGCGGGGUGAGAGUAGUACCAAGGAGCUGUAAAUUAACCCUGUGAGUACACCAAAGGGAACUGCAUAACUGUAAAGAAUCUAAAAGCCUGUGUUACAUAGACCUUUUUAACCAUUUGCAGUCUAUUUACUCCCAGCUCUCUGAGUUGCAGAGAUUAACUAGAAACUUACAAGUAAAAUUAAGCUUUAGUGUUGAUAGAUAGCUCAAAUCUUUAAGCCUAAGAUUAUAGUUAUGUUUUAUUGUUAAAGCUAAUAUUAUAAUAAAUGUUAUAGCUUUGUUAAUAGUA